This 520-nucleotide ribosomal RNA is filed under the name Cystobasidium sp. RNAcentral describes it as "partial large subunit ribosomal RNA". It matches the Rfam family "Eukaryotic large subunit ribosomal RNA", at positions 143 to 650 of the family's 3401-position model. The record is from RNAcentral. Lineage: Eukaryota; Fungi; Basidiomycota; Cystobasidiomycetes; Cystobasidiales; Cystobasidiaceae.
UUGUAGUCUCAAGAAGUGUUUUCUGUGUCGGUCCGUGUAUGAGUCUGUUGGAACACAGCGUCAUAGAGGGUGACAACCCCGUUCAUGCCACGGAUACCGGUGCUUUGUGAUACACUCUCGAAGAGUCGAGUUGUUUGGGAAUGCAGCUCAAAUUGGGUGGUAAAUUCCAUCUAAAGCUAAAUAUUGGCGAGAGACCGAUAGCAAACAAGUACCGUGAGGGAAAGAUGAAAAGCACUUUGGAAAGAGAGUUAACAGUACGUGAAAUUGUUGAAAGGGAAACGAAUGAAGUCAGACGUGCGUGUUGCAAUUCAGCUCUGGUUCGCCAGAGUGUAUUUUGUAACUUUGCAGGCCAACAUCGGUUUUCUAAGCCGGAUAAAGGUUUGAGGAAGGUGGCGCUCCAGGGCGUGUUAUAGCCUCUUGCUGAAUACGAUUUGGGGGACCGAGGAACGCAGAGCGCCGCAAGGCAAAGGUUACGACCUUUUCGCUCUUAGGAUGUUGGUGAAAUGGCUUUAUACGACCC